RNAcentral lists this small nuclear RNA (107 nucleotides) under Sciurus vulgaris (Eurasian red squirrel). Lineage: Eukaryota; Metazoa; Chordata; Mammalia; Rodentia; Sciuridae. The record is from RNAcentral.
GUGCUCGCUUCGGCAGCACGUAUACUAAAAUUGGAACGAUACAGAGAAGAUUAGCAUGGCCCCUGUGCAAGGAUGACAUGCAAAUUUGUGAAGCGUUCCAUAUUUUU